CCAGACUCCUACGGGAGGCAGCAGUGGGGGAUAUUGCACAAUGGGGGGAACCCUGAUGCAGCGACGCCGCGUGGGUGAAGGAGCGUUUCGGCGCGUAAAGCCCUAUCGGCAGGGAAGAAGGAGGACGGUACCUGACUAAGAAGCCCCGGCUAACUACGUGCCAGCAGCCGCGGUAAUACGUAGGGGGCAAGCGUUAUCCGGAUUUACUGGGUGUAAAGGGAGCGUAGACGGCCAGACAAGUCUGAAGUGAAAAUGCAGCGCUUAACGUUGGAAGUGCUUUGGAAACUGGCGGGCUGGAGUGCAGGAGGGGGAGGCGGAAUUCCUAGGGUAGCGGUGAAAUGCGUAGAUAUUAGGAGGAACACCAGUGGCGAAGGCGGCCUACUGGACGGUGACUGACGCUGAGGCUCGAAAGCGUGGGGAGCAAACAGGAUUAGAUACCCGCGUAA
Molecule: ribosomal RNA, 446 nt
Filed under: uncultured bacterium
Lineage: Bacteria
Description: bacterial SSU rRNA
Rfam family: Bacterial small subunit ribosomal RNA
Source: RNAcentral